This 941-nucleotide ribosomal RNA is filed under the name Enterobacter cloacae. RNAcentral describes it as "partial 16S ribosomal RNA". Lineage: Bacteria; Pseudomonadati; Pseudomonadota; Gammaproteobacteria; Enterobacterales; Enterobacteriaceae. The record is from RNAcentral.
AAAGGGAGAAGAGCGAAGCGACAGGCAGAGCUAGGACGAAGCAGUCAACGGUACCAGACAGCUUGCUCUCGGGUGACGAGUGCCGGACCCUUAUAUAAUGUCUGGAAAACUGCCUGAUGGAGGGGAACACCCUUUUUAAAAGCCACUAAUUCCCACACACCCAAACUCACCAACGAAGAGAGACGCGCCCCUCGCUCCCCCACCCCCCCCCUCUGAUCCCCCUAUCUUCUACGCUAAUCCCCCCUCUCCUCGAACGACCACUCCCCUCCUCUGUAUAAGACGAUCACCCACCCCUGCCACUGAGACACGGCCCAGACUCCUACCCCAGGCAGCAACGGGGAAUUAUUUUAGAUGGUGGCACCCCUAAUCAACCAAUCCCGCGGAAGAAAAAAAAGACUCCCUUUUGUAAGUAAUUUCUUUCCGGCAAGAAGUAAGUGCAGAAAAAACCUGAUAUUUUUUUAUGGCACCAGCACAAAAAGGACCGGCACACUAAGCUCCAACUACCGACGUAAUAUAUUAGGGACGAGCGAUUAUUAAAACUACUGUGCGGAAAGUAGCGCACGCAAGUGUGCUAGAACGACGUAAAUUCCACCGUCUUAUCCUGGCAAUUGACUUUGUGACAGACUAGCAUGAUAGUAUCACAUGGAGGGAGAGUUCAAUGUGAGUCGGAUAAAUGAAAACAGAUGUGAAAUAAUUCCGAUCGAGAAGGCACCUCCUGGUAUUCACUGACACUCAUCCUCUAAUGCGUAGGGAGCGAACAGUAUUAGACACUCUGACACCCCCCGCUCAAUACCAAGUAAAUUUUUGCUGGGGAGCCAUUCCUUAGAACGUAGCUAACUCGAUUAUCUGACCGAGUGGCCCCUCCGGUCGAAGAAUAGAAUCAGUAGAUUGACUUGAAUCGCAUAGCCCUGAAUAUUCGAUUAAUCGAAGAAAACUCAAAU